This 1141-nucleotide long non-coding RNA is filed under the name Androctonus crassicauda. Lineage: Eukaryota; Metazoa; Arthropoda; Arachnida; Scorpiones; Buthidae. The record is from RNAcentral.
AGUGAAUUAUAGUAUUAAAAUAGGAAUUAUACCAGAUUCCUAUAUUGGUGAUCUAAAUGCUAGAUCUAACAAAAAAACAAUAUAUUAGUAUAUUUUUUUUAAACUAAUGUUAAAAUAUAAUAGAUUUUACCUUAACCCUAUCAGUUUGGCUGAAGAAACUAUUAGUUCAGUGACAACAGAUAACAUCACAAUGGAAUCAGCAAUUUCCUAUGACUCUUUCUGGCAUCAAUGUCUGGAGGUUUGGCUCAGACAAAUAGAAAUGGAUUUUUCCUUAUCAGUAAUUAAUCAAAAUCCAAAUAGAUUUAACUGUGUUAUUAUAUCACUAGAUAAAAUAACUUAAAACAAAUUUCAGACAUUCUCCAUAACCCCCUGUCUACAAACAUUUAUCCAAAUAUCAAAAGUGCAUAAUUGCAUGUUUUGCAGACAACAGUAAAUGCAAACUAAAAACAUUACUAACUGACAUCCACCUUGGAAAUAAGAAAUAAUUCUAGCUAUUACUUGCAAUAUCAAGAUACUUUACAUGCAAAGAUACUUUGUCUAAAGAAGCACUGAAGUCUCUUUAAUUAUGAUGAUCAAUUACCAAUGUACAAGUGCUUUUUUCUGACAGCAAGAACAACCUUAUCCAAUUGUCCAUUAUGUCAGACUAAAUCAUGGAUGGAAGUAAUGGUGAUCUCUUCUAUUCACUUUAUAAAAUUGCAUCCAAAACCUAAAAAUAAACCAGUUAGUAUCAUUCACUGAUCAGAAUUUUACUGUUAUUUAGGAAAAAUCAAAAACUCUACAAAUGACAAUUGCAUCCCUCACAGAACAUUGUAAUCUCUCAAGAUUUUGAAAAUUCAAUCACUCAUAAACUCUGUCAUGUCUUCAUGAUAUACACACUGAGUAUGCUUUGUUGGUAGCAUGCAAAUGUGUUCUCACCUGUUAUAAUAAAGUCAUUAGAAAGGUGAAAAGAUCUUCCUGGAAAAAAUGCUGUCAAGGAAUUGAGGCUAUAUUUGAUGUAUCCAGAUUAGCAAAGACAAUGUUGAAAAGGAAUUAUUACAAGAUUAUACUAUCAAAUUGUCAGAUGGUAGAAUGAUUAAUGCUUGUAAGAACUCAUUAAAGGAACUCUUUUGAGUAUACUUUCCUGAAUCUACUUUGAUUGAGG